UAGCUCACUUAGAUGCACUUUAGUUUAACUCACUUAGUUACACCUUAGUUUAGCUCACUUAGUGACACCUUAGCUUAGGUCACUUAGUUGCACCUUAGCUUAGUUCACUUAGUUGCACCUUAGCUUAGUUCACUUAGUUGCACCUUAGCUUAGUUCACUUAGUUGCACCUUAGCUUAGUUCACUUAGUUGCACCUUAACUUAGUUCACUUAGUUGCAUUUAGGGUUUAGCUCACUUAGUUACACCUUAGUUUAGCUCACUUAGAUGCACUUUAGUUUAGCUCACUUAGUUACAACCUAGUUUAGCUCACUUGGUUACACCUUAGUUUAGC
RNAcentral lists this long non-coding RNA (330 nucleotides) under Vitis vinifera (wine grape). RNAcentral describes it as "long non-coding RNA (VVIN_LNC005878)". Lineage: Eukaryota; Viridiplantae; Streptophyta; Magnoliopsida; Vitales; Vitaceae. The record is from RNAcentral.